Non-coding RNA from Macaca mulatta (Rhesus monkey), 383 nucleotides. The record is from RefSeq and is a predicted model, not a curated record. Lineage: Eukaryota; Metazoa; Chordata; Mammalia; Primates; Cercopithecidae.
AGAUUGAAUACAGCAAACACACGGCAUAGGCGGGCUGCCCUCAAGGUCUUCUGGAGCUCUGCAGUAAGAAAAUAAUAAAAAGCAACAACAGAAAAUAGAAGAGCAUUUUUAACUCAGAGUCUCAGGGAAGAAAAUAAUGGAGACAGAUAACUAGCGGAACAGAAGAUGGUUACUGCUGGGCACGGCACUUGCAAAAAGAACACAGAAAAGCAUUGGGACACUGAAGCUGGCCUUUAAGGCAGAGUGGGGAUCACGCCAUGGGGUUUUAGGAAGCCCGGUGGCCAGCGGCAAUUUCUAAAGCUGCCCAAACUCUUUGUUUUCUUGCGAUUAAUGAAGCCGCAUUUUAUCAGACAAUUGCAGGAAAUAAAUACCAAGUUAAGGCA